This 199-nucleotide long non-coding RNA is filed under the name Phaseolus vulgaris (common bean). Its description in RNAcentral is "long non-coding RNA (PVUL_LNC001197)". Lineage: Eukaryota; Viridiplantae; Streptophyta; Magnoliopsida; Fabales; Fabaceae. The record is from RNAcentral.
UUUUUUGCAGUCAUGUAAUAUAAUAUACUCCAUUCUUACACUCUCAAUUUCUCUCUCUCAUGCCAUUAUUAUACUGAUAACGUUACUAAUUAAAAAAAUAAAUAAAUAACUGGUUCAUUUUUUUUAUUGAAAAAAAAUCGUAUAUAAAGAUUUUCAGUGAUAAAGAUUCACAUAACGGGACACGUGAUAUAUGAGUUAU